This is a non-coding RNA of Schistosoma mansoni, 45 nucleotides long. The record is from Rfam. Lineage: Eukaryota; Metazoa; Platyhelminthes; Trematoda; Strigeidida; Schistosomatidae.
AUCUAGUUGACCAGUCCCAAAUAGGACAAAACACGCGUCCGGGAU